CUACGGGUGGCUGCCGCAGUGGGGAAUAUUGCACAAUGGGCGCAAGCCUGAUGCAGCCAUGCCGCGUGUGUGAAGAAGGCCUUCGGGUUGUAAAGCACUUUCAGCGGGGAGGAAGGCGGUGAGGUUAAUAACCUCAUCGAUUGACGUUACCCGCAGAAGAAGCACCGGCUAACUCCGUGCCAGCAGCCGCGGUAAUACGGAGGGUGCAAGCGUUAAUCGGAAUUACUGGGCGUAAAGCGCACGCAGGCGGUCUGUCAAGUCGGAUGUGAAAUCCCCGGGCUCAACCUGGGAACUGCAUUCGAAACUGGCAGGCUAGAGUCUUGUAGAGGGGGGUAGAAUUCCAGGUGUAGCGGUGAAAUGCGCAGAGAUCUGGAGGAAUACCGGUGGCGAAGGCGGCCCCCUGGACAAAGACUGACGCUCAGGUGCGAAAGCGUGGGGAGCAAACAGGAUUAGAACCCGUGUAGUC
RNAcentral lists this ribosomal RNA (466 nucleotides) under uncultured Klebsiella sp. Its description in RNAcentral is "bacterial SSU rRNA". It matches the Rfam family "Bacterial small subunit ribosomal RNA", at positions 339 to 795 of the family's 1533-position model. The record is from RNAcentral. Lineage: Bacteria; Pseudomonadati; Pseudomonadota; Gammaproteobacteria; Enterobacterales; Enterobacteriaceae.